UACGUAGGUGACAGGCGUUGUCCGGAUUUACUGGGCGUAAAGAGCGCGCAGGCGGUCGAUCAAGUCGAGUGUGAAAGCCCCCGGCUCAACUGGGGAGGGUCAUUCGAUACUGAUCGACUCGAAGGCAGGAGAGGGUAGUGGAAUUCCCGGUGUAGUGGUGAAAUGCGUAGAUAUCGGGAGGAACACCAGUGGCGAAGGCGACUACCUGGCCUGUUCUUGACGCUGAGGCGCGAAAGCUAGGGGAGCAAACGGG
Molecule: ribosomal RNA, 253 nt
Filed under: uncultured bacterium
Lineage: Bacteria
Description: partial 16S ribosomal RNA
Rfam family: Bacterial small subunit ribosomal RNA
Source: RNAcentral